This 447-nucleotide ribosomal RNA is filed under the name uncultured bacterium. RNAcentral's name for it is "bacterial SSU rRNA". It matches the Rfam family "Bacterial small subunit ribosomal RNA", at positions 355 to 825 of the family's 1533-position model. The record is from RNAcentral.
UCGGGAAUUUUGGGCAAUGGGCGAAAGCCUGACCCAGCAACGCCGCGUGAAGGAUGAAGUAUUUCGGUAUGUAAACUUCGAAAGAAUAGGAAGAAUAAAUGACGGUACUAUUUAUAAGGUCCGGCUAACUACGUGCCAGCAGCCGCGGUAAUACGUAGGGACCAAGCGUUGCUCGGAUUUACUGGGCGUAAAGGGCGCGUAGGCGGCAAUUCAAGUCAUCUGUGAAAUCUCCGGGCUUAACUCGGAACGGUCAGAUGAUACUGCUUUGCUAGAGUGCAGAAGGGGCAAUCGGAAUUCUUGGUGUAGCGGUGAAAUGCGUAGAUAUCAAGAGGAACACCUGAGGUGAAGGCGGCUUCCUGGACUCAUACUGACGCUGAGGCACGAAAGCAUGGGGAGCAAACAGGAUUAGAUACCCCAGUAGUCCCUGAGCGGGCUGGCAAGGCGCAU